This 253-nucleotide ribosomal RNA is filed under the name uncultured bacterium. RNAcentral describes it as "partial 16S ribosomal RNA". It matches the Rfam family "Bacterial small subunit ribosomal RNA", at positions 57 to 305 of the family's 1533-position model. The record is from RNAcentral.
GCAAGUCGAGGGGCAGCAUAAUUUAGUUUACUAGAUUGAUGGCGACCGGCGCACGGGUGCGUAACGCGUAUGCAACCUACCUCAUACUAGAGAAUAGCCCAGAGAAAUUUGGAUUAAUGCUCUAUAGUAUUCACGCUCGGCAUCGAAUGUGAAUUAAAGAUUACGGUAUGAGAUGGGCAUGCGUCCCAUUAGCUAGAUGGUAAGGUAACGGCUUACCAUGGCGAUGAUGGGUAGCCGGCCUGAGAGGGUGAAC